This 552-nucleotide ribosomal RNA is filed under the name uncultured archaeon. Its description in RNAcentral is "bacterial SSU rRNA". It matches the Rfam family "Archaeal small subunit ribosomal RNA", at positions 325 to 879 of the family's 1478-position model. The record is from RNAcentral.
ACGGGGUGCAGCAGGCGCGAAACCUUUUCAAUGCGCGCAAGCGUGAGAAGGGAAUUCCAAGUGCUCAAGUUUUACUUGGGCUUUUGCCAAGUGUAAAAGCUUGGCGAAUAAGGGGUGGGAAAGACUGGUGCCAGCCGCCGCGGUAACACCAGCGCCUCGAGUGGGGAUCACGAUUAUUGGGUCUAAAGCGUCCGUAGCAGGCUUUGUAAAUGCUUUGUGAAAUCGGCAGGCUUAACCUGUCGGCGUGCAGAGUAGACUGCAGAGCUCGAGACCGGGAGAGGUUAGAAGUAUUCCUAGGGUACCGGUAAAAUGGGUUAAUCCUAGGAGGACUACCUAUGGCGAAGGCAUCUAACCAGAACGGUUCUGACUGUGAGGGACGAAAGCUAGGGGAGCAAAACGGAUUAGAUACCCGAGUAGUCCUAGCCGUAAACGCUGUGAGCAAGGUAUUGCACUUCCCACGAGGACGUGCAGUGUCGAAACGAAGGUGUUAAGCUCACCACCAGGGAAGUACGGUCGCAAGGCUGAAACUUUAAGGAAUUGGCGGGGGAGCAC